AUUGAUUUUAUGCUUGCAUAAAUGAUUUUUGGAUUCGGAGCGAGUGGCGAACUGGUGAGUAACACGUGGGUAACCUGCCCCGAAGCGGGGGAUAACAUUUGGAAACAAGUGCUAAUACCGCAUAAUUGGUUGGAACCGCAUGGUUCCAACUUGAAAGAUGGCUCUGCUAUCACUUUGGGAUGGACCCGCGCCGUAUUAGUUAGUUGGUGAGAUAAAAGCCCACCAAGACGAUGAUACGUAGCCGACCUGAGAGGGUAAUCGGCCACAUUGGGACUGAGACACGGCCCAGACUCCUACGGGAGGCAGCAGUAGGGAAUCUUCCACAAUGGACGAAAGUCUGAUGGGGCAACGCCGCGUGAGUGAUGAAGGUUUUCGGAUCGUAAAACUCUGUUGUUAAAGAAGAACAAGUGUUAGAGUAACUGUUAACACUUUGACGGUAUUUAACCAGAAAGCCACGGCUAACUACGUGCCAGCAGCCGCGGUAAUACGUAGGUGGCAAGCGUUGUCCGGAUUUAUUGGGCGUAAAGCGAGCGCAGGCGGUUUUGUAAGUCUGCUGUGAAAGCCCUCAGCUCAACUGAGGAAGUGCAGUGGAAACUACAAAACUUGAGUACAGAAGAGGAAAGUGGAACUCCAUGUGUAGCGGUGAAAUGCGUAGAUAUAUGGAAGAACACCAGUGGCGAAGGCGGCUUUCUGGUCUGUUACUGACGCUGAGGCUCGAAAGCAUGGGUAGCGAACAGGAUUAGAUACCCUGGUAGUCCAUGCCGUAAACGAUGAAUACUAGGUGUUGGAGGGUUUCCGCCCUUCAGUGCCGCAGCUAACGCAUUAAGUAUUCCGCCUGGGGAGUACGACCGCAAGGUUGAAACUCAAAGGAAUUGACGGGGGCCCGCACAAGUGGUGGAGCAUGUGGUUUAAUUCGAUGCUACGCGAAGAACCUUACCAGCUCUUGACAUCUUCUGCCAACCCAAGAGAUUGGGCGUUCCCUUCGGGGACAGAAUGACAGGUGGUGCAUGGUUGUCGUCAGCUCGUGUCGUGAGAUGUUGGGUUAAGUCCCGCAACGAGCGCAACCCUUAUUAUUAGUUGCCAGCAUUUAGUUGGGCACUCUAGUGAGACUGCCGGUGAUAAA
This 1123-nucleotide ribosomal RNA is filed under the name uncultured bacterium. Its description in RNAcentral is "bacterial SSU rRNA". It matches the Rfam family "Bacterial small subunit ribosomal RNA", at positions 47 to 1162 of the family's 1533-position model. The record is from RNAcentral.